GAGCUUGGACGCAAGGCUUCCAUGAGGCUGUGAAGGAGGUUGCACGGAAACUGGUGGGGAUCUGAAAAGCUUUUAGUGGCCUCGCCACACACAGCACUUCAGAUGCUCAGGUGAUGAGCAACAUUUUCCAAACCCAGCUAGUGAGCACCCCACCUCCUCUGGCUUCCAGAACCUGGUGUGGAGGGCCAGGAGAGGCUUCGGGACUGAAGGGCAGAGCAGCAGACUCCGGGGCUCAUGUAGGAAGGAACAUGCCUUCAGCCAAAGAUUAUCCACGCUGCAUGGAGACUCUUGCUAAAUAUCACUGAUGGAAUCUCACUCUGUCGCCCACGCUGCAGUGCAGCGGCAUGAUGUCGGCUCACUGCAACCUCCACCUCUCGGGUUCAAGUGAUUCUCCUGCCUCAGCCUCCUGAGUAGCUGGUAUUAUAGGCGUGCGCCACCACACCCUGCUAAUUUUUGUAUCUUUAGUAAAGAUGGGGUUUCAC
Molecule: long non-coding RNA, 482 nt
Filed under: Homo sapiens (human)
Lineage: Eukaryota; Metazoa; Chordata; Mammalia; Primates; Hominidae
Description: novel transcript
Source: RNAcentral